AGAAAUGGAUCAACAGCCCAAAGCACAACCACAUAAACCAAAGAUGACAAUGAACAGUACUUCAAACCAAUUUGUUCAGAAUAUGUGAAGCAACAGUCUCCUGAAAAAUCAGAUUCCUAAUAAAACUACUUCACACAGGAUUUAUACAGUUGAUAAACCACCUCAUUAAUCAAGAGGCAAAUGAUACAAACUAUAAUACUAAUUGCCUUGGAAAAUAAAAUUAUUCGGUAC
Molecule: long non-coding RNA, 231 nt
Filed under: Capsicum annuum
Lineage: Eukaryota; Viridiplantae; Streptophyta; Magnoliopsida; Solanales; Solanaceae
Description: long non-coding RNA (CANN_LNC015530)
Source: RNAcentral